Molecule: transfer RNA, 72 nt
Filed under: Chloroparvula japonica
Lineage: Eukaryota; Viridiplantae; Chlorophyta; Chloropicophyceae; Chloropicales; Chloropicaceae
Description: tRNA-Gln
Rfam family: tRNA
About the family: Transfer RNA (tRNA) molecules are approximately 80 nucleotides in length. Their secondary structure includes four short double-helical elements and three loops (D, anti-codon, and T loops).
Source: RNAcentral
UGGGGUAUAGCCAAGUGGCAAGGCAUCGGUUUUUGGCACCGACAUUCAAAGGUUCGAAUCCUUUUACCCCAA